GACGAACGCUGGCGGCGUGCUUAACACAUGCAAGUCGAACGGAAAGGCCCUGCUUUUGUGGGGUGCUCGAGUGGCGAACGGGUGAGUAACACGUGAGUAACCUGCCCUUGACUUUGGGAUAACUUCAGGAAACUGGGGCUAAUACCGGAUAGGAGCUCCUGCUGCAUGGUGGGGGUUGGAAAGUUUCGGCGGUUGUGGAUGGACUCGCGGCUUAUCAGCUUGUUGGUGGGGUAGGGGCUUACCAAGGCUUUGACGGGUAGCCGGCCUGAGAGGGUGACCGGCCACAUUGGGACUGAGAUACGGCCCAGAAUCCUACGGGAGGCAGCAGUGGGGAAUAUUGCACAAUGGGCGGAAGCCUGAUGCAGCAACGCCGCGUGCGGGAUGACGGCCUUCGGGUUGUAAACCGCUUUCGACUGUGACGAAGCGUGAGUGACGGUAAUGGGUAAAGAAGCACCGGCUAACUACGUG
This 468-nucleotide ribosomal RNA is filed under the name uncultured bacterium. RNAcentral's name for it is "partial 16S ribosomal RNA". It matches the Rfam family "Bacterial small subunit ribosomal RNA", at positions 28 to 507 of the family's 1533-position model. The record is from RNAcentral.